Molecule: long non-coding RNA, 1893 nt
Organism: Gasterosteus aculeatus aculeatus (three-spined stickleback)
Lineage: Eukaryota; Metazoa; Chordata; Actinopteri; Perciformes; Gasterosteidae
Source: Ensembl
CACGCAGCCUCUCGCAUCAUUUCCCUCCAUCGCUGUCAUGUUUGGACAGAUUGCACACGGCGGUUUGGCCUGGAUGUUGCGCUGCGGUCGGGGAGGUUUCUCAACACCAAGUGCUGCUUCUGAGGCCUGCGUCGCUACGCUGAUAGCGUUGGUUACCACGACGACGGGUGACGGUAGAGCGAGUCUGGGUGUGAAGUUACCUUCUGUCCACUUUGUAUUUGUGACGUUGAUCUGCAGGUCGCUACAACGUGCUCCUUGUGAGAGUCAGAUUGCUACUCUCGUUAGCUCGGUAGCUUUAGCUGGUUUAUCUAAAGUGAUGCGUUCAUGGACCCUCGUAGGCCUUGGUGCAGAUUAACCCGAAGCAAAGAUGGAUGAAUAUUAACAACGAGCCUCAGUGUUCUCCGCGCUCUGUAACACUCGCGCAUGUACUUUGGAUGUCAGAGACGUGAGACGUUGAGCGUUGAUUCAAACUGACAAUAAAACAGUGUUUGUCCUCAGGGCCUCGUCUCCACAACUCCGCCUUCCACAAGUCCUGUUGGUGUAAUGUCCCCGCUGAAUGCCGCCGCGGGUUUAACCUCAUUUAUUCAGGUUCAUACUCUCAUUCUCAUUAAGCAGCGCCUUGGACCUCUGGAGUUUAUACUGAAGUGUUUCUGUUUUAAACUCUGAUCUGAAACCAGCCAAGAAACUGCUGCUGAAUUCUGCACAUCGGCUGCAACAAAUGGGACUCCUUAUGACCCCCUUGCCUUUCGUCUCAGGUCUCCUCCAGUGUUUGACACUUGUUUAGCCACCAGCUGUCCACACGUCUCAGUAGAUCCCAGAGGCUUACGGGAUGAUAGCGCUCAGAUAAACAGUGAUACAGCAGAAACCAGGACUACCGUGUGGAGAGAGAGUUUCCCUGGAUGGCCCCCAGCCUUCUGCCCAGCACCAACUGGAUCGGGUGGAUGAUCGUCGCCAUGGAUGCAGAGCGGCACCACCCAGCGGCCCACUUUACAACCUCACAUUUUCAUGCUCAUUGUGAUAUUUCAAUGUCAAAGAAUCUGCAAAUUGCAAAGAAUUGCUAAAAACCAUUUGUUUCAACUUCUACCUAAACGUGUUUCCUGUGACGUGGUUUCCUGUCUGACGUGGUUUCCUGUGUGUGACGUGGUUUCCUGUGACGUGGUUCCUGUCUGACGUGGUUUCCUGUGUGACGUGGUUUCCUGUGAAGUGGUUUCCGUUGUGACGUGGUUUCCUGUGUGACGUGGUUUCCUGUGACGUGGUUUCCGUGUGACGUGGUUUCCUGUUCUGACGUGGUUUCCCGUGUGACGUGGUUUCCUGUGACGUGGUUUCCUGUGACGUGGUUUCCUGUCUGACGUGUUUCCCGUGUGACGUGGUUUCCUGUGACGUGGUUUCUGUGUGACGUGGUUUCCUGUCUGACGUGGUUUCCCGUGUGACGUGGUUCCUUGUGACGUGGUUUCCUGUGACGUGGUUUCCCGUCUAACCUGGUUUCCUGUGUGUGACGUGGUUUCCUGUGACGUGGUUUCCUGUGUGACGUGGUUUCCUGUGAUGUGGUUUCCCGUGUGACGUGGUUUCCUGUGCGUGGUUUCUGCGUGACGUGGUUUCCUGUCUGACGUGGUUUCCCGUGUGACGUGGUUUCCUGUGAUGUGGUUUCCGUGUGACGUGGUUUCCCGUGACGUGGUUUCCUGUGACGUGGUUUCCCGUCUAACCUGGUUUCCUGUGUGUGACGUGGUUUCCCGUGACGUGGUUUCCUGUCUGACGUGGUUUCCUGUGUGACGUGGUUUCCCGUGUGACGUGGUUUCCUGUGCGUGGUUUCUGUGUGACGUGGUUUCCUGUCUGACGUGGUUUCCCGUGUGACGUGCAUUCCUGUGAUGUGGUAUCCCGUGUGACGUGGGUUCC